UAUUAGAUUGCUGCAAGAGUAAUUGCGGUUUUCAGUUACUUUUCAGAAACUGCAGUUACUUUUGCACCAACCUUAUA
RNAcentral lists this microRNA precursor (77 nucleotides) under Callithrix jacchus (white-tufted-ear marmoset). RNAcentral describes it as "microRNA cja-mir-548n precursor (cja-mir-548n-1)". Its record names the gene cja-mir-548n-1. Lineage: Eukaryota; Metazoa; Chordata; Mammalia; Primates; Cebidae. The record is from miRBase by way of RNAcentral.